Molecule: ribosomal RNA, 257 nt
Filed under: uncultured bacterium
Lineage: Bacteria
Description: partial 16S ribosomal RNA
Rfam family: Bacterial small subunit ribosomal RNA
Source: RNAcentral
UACAGAGGUCCCAAGCGUUGUUCGGAUUCACUGGGCGUAAAGGGUGGCGUAGGUGGCAUGGUAAGUUUGAUUGUGAAAGCUCAGGGCUUAACCCUGAAAUGGCAUUGAAUACUACUGUGCUGGAGGUUUGGAGGGGGGGACUGGAAUUCUUGGUGUAGCAGUGAAAUGCGUAGAUAUCAAGAGGAACACCAGUGGCGAAGGCGAGUCCCUGGACAACACCUGACACUGAGGCACGAAAGCUAGGGGGAGCAAACAGG